GUCCAGACUCCUACGGGAGGCAGCAGUGAGGAAUAUUGGUCAAUGGGCGGGAGCCUGAACCAGCCAAGUCGCGUGAGGGAAGACGGUCCUACGGAUUGUAAACCUCUUUUGUCGGGGGGUAAAGAGAGUCACGUGUGACUCAUUGAGAGUACCCGAAGAAAAAGCAUCGGCUAACUCCGUGCCAGCAGCCGCGGUAAUACGGAGGAUGCGAGCGUUAUCCGGAUUUAUUGGGUUUAAAGGGUGCGCAGGCGGAGGUGCAAGUCAGCGGUCAAAUUGCGGGGCUCAACCCCGUACUGCCGUUGAAACUGCAUCCCUUGAGUGCGCGAGAAGUAUGCGGAAUGCGUGGUGUAGCGGUGAAAUGCAUAGAUAUCACGCAGAACUCCGAUUGCGAAGGCAGCAUACCGGCGCGCAACUGACGCUCAUGCACGAAAGCGUGGGUAUCGAACAGGAUUGGAUACCCC
Molecule: ribosomal RNA, 461 nt
Filed under: uncultured bacterium
Lineage: Bacteria
Description: bacterial SSU rRNA
Rfam family: Bacterial small subunit ribosomal RNA
Source: RNAcentral